AGCAGCCGCCGCGGUAAUACGUAGGUGGCAAGCGUUGGUCGGAAUUAUUGGGCGUAAAGGGUGCGUAGGCGGUUUCUUAAGUCUGAUGUGAAAGCCCCCGGCUCAACCGGGGAGGGUCAUUGGAAACUGGGAAACUUGAGUGCAGGAGAGGAGAGUGGAAUUCCACGUGUAGCGGUGAAAUGCGUAGAGAUGUGGAGGAACACCAGUGGCGAAGGCGACUCUCUGGUCUGUAAUUGACGCUGAGGAGCGAAAGCGUGGGGAGCGAACAGGAUUAGAGACCCCCGUAGUCCCUGUCUCUUAUAA
RNAcentral lists this ribosomal RNA (303 nucleotides) under uncultured bacterium. RNAcentral's name for it is "partial 16S ribosomal RNA". It matches the Rfam family "Bacterial small subunit ribosomal RNA", at positions 507 to 809 of the family's 1533-position model. The record is from RNAcentral.